Molecule: long non-coding RNA, 932 nt
Filed under: Piliocolobus tephrosceles (Ugandan red Colobus)
Lineage: Eukaryota; Metazoa; Chordata; Mammalia; Primates; Cercopithecidae
Description: lncRNA (ENSPTEG00000014183.1)
Source: RNAcentral
UUAAAAUAUAUUUUUUUAUUAUGUUUACAUUUUUUUUUUUAUUAUGCUCAUAUUUUUUUCAUUUUCUAUAGAAGUUAGACAUUUCAAUUUUAGAGCUAAAACAAAAAACCAUAACAAAAUUUUAUCAUUUUAUGUUUUGGGUAUUAAUUUGCCAAGCAUAUGUUUUAGUACCCUUCUCUUAUUUUUAUAUACAAAAUAAAAGUUUAUAUAAAAACGAAUUUGAUGACAAUAUUAGUGUUUGUGAAAAUGUGAUUGAGUCUUUUGGAAAAAUGACAAAAGGAAAGGAGCUUGAAUAUAUUGUAGAUUUAUUGGAUAUUAAACAUGCUGGUGAAUCUGCUAUUUUAUUUUUGAUGGGAUGUGUGAUGUUAAUAGGUGUAUCAUUUUGGGUUACAUAUACGAGUCAUGGACUAGCUUGUUUACCCUUAGCUUUUUUGCAUCACGAAAAUCUUGAACAGUGUAAAAAAGAAAUAGAAGAUCGUUUUAAUAGGCUUAAGGAAAAAGAAAUGUUGAUAAAGAGUAAAUAUACACCACAGAAUGAAAUAAAACAAAAUGAUAAAAAUGAAAUUGUCAAAAUUGAAAAAAUGAAAAAAAUACUAAGUAAAUACAAUUAUAAAUUGCAAGAAAAGGAAAAAAUAUACGAAUCCUGGUUAUCUUAUGUGUUGGGACUUGUGUUUACAUUUAGGUAAAAUAUAUAUAUAUGUAUAUAUACAUAUCUAUAUUUAUGUGUGCAUAUGUACAUAUAUAUAUAAACAUACAAUACAUACGAUAAACUAAAAUAUACCAAUUUUUUUAUUAUGCUUUAAGAAUUAUAAUAGGUAUAAUAUUUCUCACUUUUUCAUUUACCAUAUACAUAUCUUUGUUAUCCUCAAUAGUGGAUAAAGUAAGAAAGAGCAUAUGAAAAAAAUGAACAAAAAAAAUGAACAAAAAAAAUG